GCCACCUUGGCUAAGUGGUUACGGCGCUCCGCUUGUAUCUCCAUGGAGAAGAGACGGAGAGAUCACUCGUUCGAUCCGGGUAGGUGGCA
Molecule: non-coding RNA, 89 nt
Organism: Neolentinus lepideus HHB14362 ss-1
Lineage: Eukaryota; Fungi; Basidiomycota; Agaricomycetes; Gloeophyllales; Gloeophyllaceae
Source: the annotation of a GenBank genome assembly